Molecule: unclassified non-coding RNA, 361 nt
Filed under: soil metagenome
Description: partial contains 5.8S ribosomal RNA, internal transcribed spacer 2, and large subunit ribosomal RNA
Rfam family: 5.8S ribosomal RNA (bases 1-120)
Source: RNAcentral
GAUGAAGAACGCAGCGAAAUGCGAUAAGUAAUGUGAAUUGCAGAAUUCAGUGAAUCAUCGAAUCUUUGAACGCACCUUGCGCCUUUUGGUAUUCCGAAAGGCAUGCCUGUUUGAGUGUCAUGAAAUCUCAAUCCCCCCGGGUUUAUGAUCUGGGUUGGGACUUGGACUUGGGUGCUGCCGGUUACAUGGCUCGCCUCAAAUGACUUAGUGGAUCUCUCUGCAUCCGUGACAGACGUAAUAAGUUUCGUCUUGUCCCUUGCUGUCUGAGUCUGCUCCUAACCUGCCAUUGUGCACUUUUAGACUCUGACCUCAAAUCAGGUAGGACUACCCGCUGAACUUAAGCAUAUCAAUAAGCGGAGGA